GGGGGCCUAGCUCCGCUGGAUGAGUGACUGCAUUGGGGUGCGUUGUCCGGUGUUAUAGCCUCCUUCCCUCUCC
This 73-nucleotide transfer RNA is filed under the name uncultured Synechococcus sp. RNAcentral's name for it is "tRNA-Ala". The record is from RNAcentral. Lineage: Bacteria; Bacillati; Cyanobacteriota; Cyanophyceae; Synechococcales; Synechococcaceae.